UCACCCAGUCCGUUUGUCUAGAUGACACAACAGUCAAGUUUGAGAUCUGGGACACAGCUGGGCAGGAGCGAUAUCACAGCUUAGCCCCCAUGUACUACAGGGGUGCCCAAGCUGCAAUCGUGGUUUACGACAUUACUAAUCAGGAAACCUUUGCCCGAGCAAAGACAUGGGUGAAAGAACUACAGCGACAGGCCAGUCCUAGCAUCGUUAUUGCGCUGGCAGGGAACAAAGCUGACCUGGCCAACAAGCGUAUGGUGGAGUAUGAAGUAAGAUGGCCCGUGGAGUUCCUCUCUAACACUUCCUCUGUUCCUGGGACCUCUUUUUUUCCAAACCAGCCCUCUCUGAAAAUGUCAACUGAGGACAUUCAUUGUCUCAUUCCCCAGUUCUACACCAAGUUAAAUACAGCAACACUGUGACCCUAAUGACAGCCAGGAGAUUUUCAGAGGAGUCAGGAGAAAACUCCAGAGCAGAGGGUUAGGGAAGUACCAGCUGUGGGGGUACCAGUGUGAAAACAGGAAGGAGGGAGCAAUUAAAUUUGUGGUAAGGGACUAUUCAAGU
This 558-nucleotide small RNA is filed under the name Pongo abelii (Sumatran orangutan). RNAcentral describes it as "retained intron". The record is from RNAcentral. Lineage: Eukaryota; Metazoa; Chordata; Mammalia; Primates; Hominidae.